Molecule: ribosomal RNA, 468 nt
Filed under: uncultured bacterium
Lineage: Bacteria
Description: partial 16S ribosomal RNA
Rfam family: Bacterial small subunit ribosomal RNA
Source: RNAcentral
GACGAACGCUGGCGGCGUGCUUAACACAUGCAAGUCGAACGGAAAGGCCCUGCUUUUGUGGGGUGCUCGAGUGGCGAACGGGUGAGUAACACGUGAGUAACCUGCCCUUGACUUUGGGAUAACUUCAGGAAACUGGGGCUAAUACCGGAUAGGAGCUCCUGCUGCAUGGUGGGGGUUGGAAAGUUUCGGCGGAUGGGGAUGGACUCGCGGCUUAUCAGCUUGUUGGUGGGGUAGUGGCUUACCAAGGCUUUGACGGGUAGCCGGCCUGAGAGGGUGACCGGCCACAUUGGGACUGAGAUACGGCCCAGACUCCUACGGGAGGCAGCAGUGGGGAAUAUUGCACGAUGGGCGGAAGCCUGAUGCAGCAACGCCGCGUGCGGGAUGACGGCCUUCGGGUUGUAAACCGCUUUCGCCUGUGACGAAGCGUGAGUGACGGUAAUGGGUAAAGAAGCACCGGCUAACUACGUG